RNAcentral lists this RNase P RNA (382 nucleotides) under Kineosporia babensis. RNAcentral's name for it is "Bacterial RNase P class A". It matches the Rfam family "Bacterial RNase P class A". Rfam says of the family: Ribonuclease P (RNase P) is a ubiquitous endoribonuclease, found in archaea, bacteria and eukarya as well as chloroplasts and mitochondria. Its best characterised activity is the generation of mature 5'-ends of tRNAs by cleaving the 5'-leader elements of precursor-tRNAs. The record is from Rfam by way of RNAcentral. Lineage: Bacteria; Bacillati; Actinomycetota; Actinomycetes; Kineosporiales; Kineosporiaceae.
CGAGUUGGACGGGCGACCGCGUCGGACGGUUCGCCGUCCGCCGAGGAAAGUCCGGACUCCACAGGGCAGGGUGGUGGGUAACGCCCACCCGGGGUGACCCGCGGGACAGUGCCACAGAAAACAGACCGCCGAUCGGCCCGCAAGGGCGGAUCGGUAAGGGUGAAACGGUGGUGUAAGAGACCACCAGCGCUCCGGGUGACCGGAGCGGCUAGGUAAACCCCACCCGGAGCAAGGCCAGACAGGAUGCGCUCGAGGGCUGCUCGCCCGAGUAUCCGGGUAGGCCGCACGAGGACGCCGGCAACGGCGCCCCGAGAUGGAUGGUCGUCGCAGGCCGGGUUCGCCCGGCCUGGCACAAGAUCCGGCUUACAGUCCAGCUCGUCCG